This 254-nucleotide ribosomal RNA is filed under the name uncultured bacterium. RNAcentral's name for it is "partial 16S ribosomal RNA". It matches the Rfam family "Bacterial small subunit ribosomal RNA", at positions 524 to 776 of the family's 1533-position model. The record is from RNAcentral.
UACGUAGGGGGCAAGCGUUGUCCGGAUUUAUUGGGCGUAAAAGGCUUGUAGGUGGCCAUGCGAAGUCGGAUGUGAAAUCUCCCGGCUCAACUGGGAGGGGUCAUUCGAUACUGUCGGGCUCGAGUCCGGAAGAGGCGAGUGGAAUUCCUGGUGUAGCGGUGAAAUGCGCAGAUAUCAGGAGGAACACCAAUGGCGAAGGCAGCUCGCUGGGACGUGACUGACGCUGAGACGCGAAAGCGUGGGGAGCAAACAGG